Molecule: transfer RNA, 85 nt
Filed under: Felis catus (domestic cat)
Lineage: Eukaryota; Metazoa; Chordata; Mammalia; Carnivora; Felidae
Rfam family: tRNA
About the family: Transfer RNA (tRNA) molecules are approximately 80 nucleotides in length. Their secondary structure includes four short double-helical elements and three loops (D, anti-codon, and T loops).
Source: Rfam by way of RNAcentral
ACCUGGUUGGCUCAGUCAGUUAAGCGUCUGACUUCAGCUCAGUUCAUGAUCUCACAGUUUGUGAGUUUGAGCCCCGCAUCGGGUU